Molecule: ribosomal RNA, 462 nt
Filed under: uncultured bacterium
Lineage: Bacteria
Description: partial 16S ribosomal RNA
Rfam family: Bacterial small subunit ribosomal RNA
Source: RNAcentral
GACGAACGCUGGCGGCGUGCUUAACACAUGCAAGUCGAGCGGAAAGGCCCUUCGGGGUACUCGAGCGGCGAACGGGUGAGUAACACGUGAGUAACCUGCCCCAGACUUUGGGAUAACCCUCGGAAACGGGGGCUAAUACCGGAUACGACACAGCUUCGCAUGGGGUUUGUGUGGAAAGUUUUUCGGUUUGGGAUGGGCUCGCGGCCUAUCAGCUUGUUGGUGGGGUGAUGGCCUACCAAGGCGACGACGGGUAGCCGGCCUGAGAGGGCGACCGGCCACACUGGGACUGAGACACGGCCCAGACUCCUACGGGAGGCAGCAGUGGGGAAUAUUGCACAAUGGGCGGAAGCCUGAUGCAGCGACGCCGCGUGAGGGAUGACGGCCUUCGGGUUGUAAACCUCUUUCAGCAGGGACGAAGCGUAAGUGACGGUACCUGCAGAAGAAGCGCCGGCCAACUACGUG